CCCGGACGGCAAGGAAGAGGAGGAAGAGGAGGGGCAAGGGCAGGUGUCCCCCUCUCCUUCCCCACUGCCCCCCAGGAGACCCAGAAGCGAGGGCUGGCUGGAGGUGGCCCCUCUGGUCCUUCCCAAACUCCAGGCUCCUCUUCCC
Perognathus longimembris pacificus (Pacific pocket mouse) is the source of this 145-nucleotide long non-coding RNA. RefSeq lists it as uncharacterized. The record is from RefSeq and is a predicted model, not a curated record. Lineage: Eukaryota; Metazoa; Chordata; Mammalia; Rodentia; Heteromyidae. The transcript has 3 exons.